CCCGCUCAGAAACUACAAAGGAAUUGACGGGUCCCCCGCACAAGCGGCGGAGCAUGCGGCUUAAUUCGAUGCAACCCGAAGAACCUUACCUGGGCUUGACAUUAUGGGAAAAGCCGUAGAGAUACGGUGUGCAUUAGCGUCCAUGACAGGUGGUGCAUGGCUGUCGUCAGCUCGUGUCGUGAGAUGUUGGGUUAAGUCCCGCAACGAGCGCAACCCUUGUCCUAUGUUGCCAGCGGUUCGGCCGGGGACUCAUAGGAGACUGCCGGGGACAACUCGGAGGAAGGUGAGGACGACGUCAAGUCAUCAUGCCCCUUAUGUCCAGGGCUGCACGCAUGCUACAAUGGUCGGUACAACGGGCUGCGAUCCCGCGAGGGUGAGCGAAUCCCUUAAAACCGGCCUCAGUUCGGAUUGGAGUCUGCAACUCGACUCCAUGAAGUCGGAGUCGCUAGUAAUCGCGGAUCAGCAAAGCCGCGGUGAAUGCGUUCUCGGGGAUU
This 494-nucleotide ribosomal RNA is filed under the name uncultured Acidimicrobiales bacterium. RNAcentral's name for it is "bacterial SSU rRNA". It matches the Rfam family "Bacterial small subunit ribosomal RNA", at positions 903 to 1382 of the family's 1533-position model. The record is from RNAcentral. Lineage: Bacteria; Bacillati; Actinomycetota; Acidimicrobiia; Acidimicrobiales.